UACGUAGGGGGCGAGCGUUGUCCGGAUUUAUUGGGCGUAAAGAGCUCGUAGGCGGUCUGUUGCGUCCGCUGUGAAAACUCGGGGCUUAACCCCGAGCCUGCAGUGGAUACGGGCAGACUAGAGGUAGGUAGGGGAGAAUGGAAUUCCCGGUGUAGCGGUGAAAUGCGCAGAUAUCGGGAGGAACACCGGUGGCGAAGGCGGUUCUCUGGGCCUUACCUGACGCUGAGGAGCGAAAGCGUGGGGAGCGAACAGG
This 253-nucleotide ribosomal RNA is filed under the name uncultured bacterium. Its description in RNAcentral is "partial 16S ribosomal RNA". It matches the Rfam family "Bacterial small subunit ribosomal RNA", at positions 524 to 776 of the family's 1533-position model. The record is from RNAcentral.